AGAGUGAACGCUGGCGGUAGGCCUAACACAUGCAAGUCGAACGGCAGCACGGUAAGAGCUUGCUCUUAUGGGUGGCGAGUGGCGGACGGGUGAGGAAUACAUCGGAAUCUACCUUUUGGUGGGGGAUAACGUAGGGAAACUUACGCUAAUACCGCAUACGCCCUUCGGGGGAAAGCCGGGGACCAGCAAUGGCCUGGCGCUGAUAGAUGAGCCGAUGUCGGAUUAGCUAGUUGGUGAGGUAAUGGCUCACCAAGGCGACGAUCCGUAGCUGGUCUGAGAGGAUGAUCAGCCACACUGGAACUGAGACACGGUCCAGACUCCUACGGGAGGCAGCAGUGGGGAAUAUUGGACAAGUGGGCGACGAAGCCUGAUCCAGCCAUACCGCGUGGUAGAAGAAGGCCUUACGGGUUGUAAACGUCCCGUUUUUAGGUUAGGGAAAG
RNAcentral lists this ribosomal RNA (440 nucleotides) under uncultured soil bacterium. RNAcentral's name for it is "bacterial SSU rRNA". It matches the Rfam family "Bacterial small subunit ribosomal RNA", at positions 26 to 452 of the family's 1533-position model. The record is from RNAcentral.